AACCUCAUCCUAAUCAGUUUCUUGACUGAUUAGUGAUGGAUUGGGUGUUUGCCUUUCUGGCUCGCCUUAAAAGUCUAAGUGGUCUGGAUGUAAUACGUUUCGUCCUUGACUGACUCUUAACCCAUCUUUCAA
RNAcentral lists this unclassified non-coding RNA (132 nucleotides) under uncultured Tremellomycetes. Its description in RNAcentral is "sequence contains ITS2". Lineage: Eukaryota; Fungi; Basidiomycota; Tremellomycetes. The record is from RNAcentral.